GAUGAACGCUGGCGGCGUGCUUAACACAUGCAAGUCGAGCGAAGCGCUUUUGCGGAUUUCGUUCGGAUUGAAGCAACUGUGACUGAGCGGCGGACGGGUGAGUAACGCGUGGGUAACCUGCCUCAUACAGGGGGAUAACAGUUGGAAACGGCUGCUAAUACCGCAUAAGCGCACAGUACCGCAUGGUACCGUGUGAAAACUCCGGGUCGGUAUGAGAUGGACCCGCGUCUGAUUAGCUA
This 239-nucleotide ribosomal RNA is filed under the name uncultured bacterium. RNAcentral describes it as "partial 16S ribosomal RNA". It matches the Rfam family "Bacterial small subunit ribosomal RNA", at positions 28 to 247 of the family's 1533-position model. The record is from RNAcentral.